Molecule: ribosomal RNA, 370 nt
Filed under: uncultured bacterium
Lineage: Bacteria
Description: bacterial SSU rRNA
Rfam family: Bacterial small subunit ribosomal RNA
Source: RNAcentral
AACGAACGCUGGCGGCAGGCUUAACACAUGCAAGUCGAACGGUUGUAGCAAUACAGCAGUGGCAGACGGGUGAGUAACACGUGGGAACCUUCCUAGGGGUACGGAACAACUCAGGGAAACUUGAGCUAAUACCGUAUACGUCCGUGAGGAGAAAGAUUUAUCGCCCUUAGACGGGCCCGCGUAGGAUUAGGUAGUUGGUGGGGUAAUGGCCUACCAAGCCUACGAUCCUUAGCUGAUCUGAGAGGAUGAUCAGCCACACUGGGACUGAGACACGGCCCAGACUCCUACGGGAGGCAGCAGUGGGGAAUCUUGGACAAUGGGCGCAAGCCUGAUCCAGCCAUGCCGCGUGAGUGAAGAAGGCCUUCGGUUG